AAUGUCAACCAAAACGAAACCAAUUGUUGACGAUGUUCAUGAUAUAACUUCUACCAGCCUAUUCUAAAGUGUAUAUUUCUAGAUUUAAAGGAACAAAAAUAGAAAGCUAAUUCCUAUCUUGUAUUAUCAAAUACAAUAUCAGCCCAAGACAUCUAGGACAAAUAGAAAUUAAGAUAAGAAUGGCUGGUAGGGUCACGUUUCUCCUUUUGUAUUUCUCCCUGUUCAAAGAGAGAAAUGCAACCAACUACCAAAUAUGGGGAGGGAAGUGGGAGAGGAGAGGGACCCAUGUACCCCGCUUCAAUCAAGCAGGCUGCAGUCACCCACUUGGCUUCUGUCAUCCCCAAGAUUGAACCUGGAGACAAAUCCAGCUAUUGCCUCCUCCUUGUCAGGCCACUCACACUGGGCAGACAGGAGUCCUGGGUUGGAGAGCUCGCACAGCUUCUGUACAUACGCCGCUGGGUCAAAGUUGGCGUCAUUAAAGAGGAGAUCCAGGAGCCUGUCUACAUAGACAGUCAUCUUUUUUAAAAGGGAAAUGUUUGUUAAAUGAGUAGUCAAUUUCAUUUCCUUUUAUUUUCUGUUCUGAGUUAUGAUGCUAAAAUGUGUUGAUGUAGUGAUCUACUCAUUCUACAAUGUGUUUUCUGGGUACUCAAUUUGAAAUAUUUGAUUUACUCUUUUGGUCGUGAAACUUUUCAAUACUGGUAUUUGAAAUGUUCGUGCACCUGAAAUGCUCAAAUUCAGAUUUUAAAUGAAUAACUAUUAAAUCAUGAUUAGCCUCAAUGACACAAGCUACAUCAACUGUAAGACAACAACCCACACAAUGGAAUGGCAAAAUAUGAUUUUCAGGGGUAAAUUAAAAAUACUAUACACAGCG
Oncorhynchus kisutch (coho salmon) is the source of this 871-nucleotide long non-coding RNA. RefSeq lists it as uncharacterized. Lineage: Eukaryota; Metazoa; Chordata; Actinopteri; Salmoniformes; Salmonidae. The record is from RefSeq and is a predicted model, not a curated record. The transcript is spliced from 2 exons.